UACGGAGGGUGCAAGCGUUGUCCGGAUUCACUGGGCGUAAAGGGCGCGUAGGCGGCUCAUGAAGGCUGUGGUGAAAGUCCGGGGCUCAACCUCGGAUCGGCCGUGGCGACUCGUGGGCUGGAGCACUGUAGAGGCGGGUGGAAUUCCGGGUGUAGCGGUGGAAUGCGUAGAGAUCCGGAAGAACACCAGUGGCGAAGGCGGCCCGCUGGGCAGUGGCUGACGCUGAGGCGCGACAGCGUGGGGAGCAAACAGG
RNAcentral lists this ribosomal RNA (253 nucleotides) under uncultured bacterium. RNAcentral describes it as "partial 16S ribosomal RNA". It matches the Rfam family "Bacterial small subunit ribosomal RNA", at positions 524 to 776 of the family's 1533-position model. The record is from RNAcentral.